UACGAAGGGUGCAAGCGUUACUCGGAAUUACUGGGCGUAAAGCGUGCGUAGGUGGUUCGUUAAGUCUGUCGUGAAAGCCCCGGGCUCAACCUGGGAAUGGCGAGGAUACUGGCGAGCUAGAGUGCGGUAGAGGAGAGUGGAAUUCCCGGUGUAGCAGUGAAAUGCGUAGAGAUCGGGAGGAACAUCAGUUGCGAAGGCGGCUCUCUGGACCAGCACUGACACUGAGGCACGAAAGCGUGGGGAGCAAACAGG
RNAcentral lists this ribosomal RNA (252 nucleotides) under uncultured bacterium. RNAcentral describes it as "partial 16S ribosomal RNA". It matches the Rfam family "Bacterial small subunit ribosomal RNA", at positions 524 to 776 of the family's 1533-position model. The record is from RNAcentral.